AGUGAACGCUGGCGGUAGGCCUAACACAUGCAAGACGAACGGCAGCACAGUAAGAGCUUGCUCUUACGGGUGGCGAGUGGCGGACGGGUGAGGAAUACAUCGGAAUCUACUUUUUCGUGGGGGAUAACGUAGGGAAACUUACGCUAAUACCGCAUACGACCUACGGGUGAAAGCAGGGGAUCUUCGGACCUUGCGCGAUUGAAUGAGCCGAUGUCGGAUUAGCUAGUUGGCGGGGUAAAGGCCCACCAAGGCGACGAUCCGUAGCUGGUCUGAGAGGAUGAUCAGCCACACUGGAACUGAGACACGGUCCAGACUCCUACGGGAGGCAGCAGUGGGGAAUAUUGGACAAUGGGCGCAAGCCUGAUCCAGCCAUACCGCGUGGGUGAAGAAGGCCUUCGGGUUGUAAAGCCCUUUUGUUGGGAAAGAAAAGCAGCAGGUUAAUACCCCGCUGUUCUGACGGUACCCAAAGAAUAAGCAUCGGCUAACUUCGUG
Molecule: ribosomal RNA, 492 nt
Filed under: uncultured bacterium
Lineage: Bacteria
Description: partial 16S ribosomal RNA
Rfam family: Bacterial small subunit ribosomal RNA
Source: RNAcentral